CUAGAUUUGACGUUUGUAUUGAAAUGUGUUUAUUACUAAAGGACGUCUGUGAUUUUCCUUGGCAAUUGGUGCCCAAAUGUUAUAUGGUAAGUUGUAUUGUCCUGUCAGAUUAUUGAGGUGAAGUGCAAGCUGGCCCGCGACUGUGGACGAAAAUUCUAAUACUUGGCUGUGGGAGAUAUACUGAACCAGUAAAUCCUGAAUUGAGGCAGUUCAUUCGUUCCACUGGCAUGAAGUUGGAAGCUGUAGACACGAGAAAUGCGGCAUCAACUUAUAAUAUCCUAAAUGAGGAGGGUAGAAUUGUAGCUGCAGCGCUUCUGCCUUAUGGAGUUUCUUCAUGACCCACCGCCCAGAGCCAGACUCGGUUGUUGUUAUGGAUGCCUCUAAAUUGCAGGAUUCUUCUACCUCUCAAAUCUUACAAGUAUUACUUAGCGCUUUGAUCUCUACUCAUUUGUAGAAUGACUACAACUAUCGAGUCACUUGGUCCUUUUUGCUGUAUAGAUAUACUGUUAUUGUCAUAACCUGCCAUCAAGAAUUAUAGUGUAUAUAUAUUAAAGUGUUGGCUAUUUUCUUGUACAUUGGUGUGAAACUUGUAUAAUUUCAAAUUUGUCAUUCUCAGCUACAUUAUUGUCA
Cucumis sativus (cucumber) is the source of this 630-nucleotide long non-coding RNA. RefSeq lists it as uncharacterized. The transcript has 3 exons. The record is from RefSeq and is a predicted model, not a curated record. NCBI's taxonomy places the organism in Eukaryota, Viridiplantae, Streptophyta, Magnoliopsida, Cucurbitales, Cucurbitaceae.